GGAUAAGGUAGUGUUCAGGAUCAAGAUUAGGAUCAGUUUCCGAGUCAGAAUCUACAUAGAGGACAAGUUCAAUGUAAGGGUAAAGGUGAGAGUCAGUCCAUGUCAAUGUCAGAGUCAGGACCAAAAUGUUGGCAAGCAUCAGACUAAAAGUCAAGGUAGUGUUAGGACAGGGGCAAGGACUAGGUCAUGUUCUAUCAGAGUGAAAACCAGAGUCAAAGUCAGGUUGAGGGUCUCAUUCCAUGUGAGGCUCAAAAUCAGGGUAAGGGUCUUGAUGAGGGCUCAGAGACAUGGUGAAGAUCAGAGACAAGUUUAGGGUAAGGGUCAAAGAAAGGAUUAGGUUGAGCAUCAGGCUAAUGAUCAGGGUGUGUGGAUCAGAGUCAAGAUUAGUUCUUUGGAUGAGGAUCACCAUCCCUUUUGGGUAGUUUUUUGUGUAGGUUGGAUAAAAGCUUUAUUCCCCAGGGGCGCCUGUGUGGCUCAGCUGGCUGUGUCCGACUCUUGGCUUUGACUCAGGUCAUGAUCUCCUGGUCAGGAGAUCGAACCCCAUGUCAGGCUCCGGGCUCAGCAGGGGGCCUGUUUCCUCUCUCCCUCUCCCUCUGCCACUCCCCCGGCUCACAUAUACUCUCUCUUCUCUCUCUCAAAUAAAUAAAUAAAUAAAUCUUUAAAAAAAAAAACAAAACACCUCUAUUCCCUAGAGAGGCAUUUUUUUAUUUGUACAGAAGCCAACAGCUACUUCAAGAUCAUCCACAUCCCUUCCUGUCCAACCCACUACUUCAGGUCUUCAGAAGGACCUACCCGAAGAACCUUGAAUUCACAGAAGCCACCUGGAACAGCAAGAGGAGUCUGCUUUCGUGUUCCUGCAGCCUUUCUAGUCUCUUCCUUCAGGAUUGUUGAGCCAGUGCCCUGGGGUGCUUGGUGUCAGUUUUCAGAUAAGGAAAGAGAGCUGGCUGUUAAGGCUCUAUUUAUAAUAUGCCCUUGAAAGCCGAGUGCUGACUUCUUUGAGCUAAAAAAACUGGCAGGUAAGGAAGGAGAAGAGACACAAGGCAGAGGGUCAUCUCCAGUGAGAUGGACAGCCCGGGACGCUGGAGCGUGGGCACGCAGGCGCACUCCCAGGCUCGCCCACACACAUACACAUCCAGGCCAAAAUGAAUAAAGAGACAAAGGAGUCCGGGAGAAGACAGGGAAGUGCCCGGAACAUGAGAGAAACUUAAUUCGUAUUUGGUGAGGAGAAAAGAAGAUAAGAGGGGAGGAAAUGAGGGAGCAAAAGAGGAAUUCAGACGGCAAAUUUAGUGAGGAGAGCACUGAACUGGGAGUCCGGAGACCUUCAUUUGAAGCCUAGCUCUCCUUGAUUUAUCAGAUUUCUUAGAAAUUUGGGCUUGGUCAGGUUUCUUGGCCUCUCUGAAUUUAGGUUUUGUCUUCUCUCAAAUAGGUGUCGUAUUGCCUUCCCAACGAAUCUCAUAAGAUUGCUCUAAAAAUCCAGUGGAAUGAUGAUUAUGCAAGUCCCGGGUGAGCGGAACCUACUCUGCACACGUGAGGUCCUGGCCUGGGGGUGAGAGCUAGCAGAGCACCCCACAUGCCUUAGAGGACUUAGCCUCACAACAAUCUUGCACUAUAAACUACUUUUUUAUUAANNNNNNNNNNNNNNNNNNNNNNNNNNNNNNNNNNNNNNNNNNNNNNNNNNNNNNNNNNNNNNNNNN
Long non-coding RNA from Mustela putorius furo (domestic ferret), 1694 nucleotides. Lineage: Eukaryota; Metazoa; Chordata; Mammalia; Carnivora; Mustelidae. The record is from Ensembl.